This 216-nucleotide long non-coding RNA is filed under the name Hordeum vulgare. Its description in RNAcentral is "long non-coding RNA (HVUL_LNC004712)". The record is from RNAcentral. Lineage: Eukaryota; Viridiplantae; Streptophyta; Magnoliopsida; Poales; Poaceae.
UUAGAUCUCUUUUGUAUAACAAUCAAUCUAUACCAAACUUCUUUUAAAGUUUCAUCACCCAAGCGCUUAAAAUUUAAAACUUUGGAACCUUCUCCCAAGUAAGGGGGAAGAGGCAUUUUCGCAGAAGGACUAGACAUGACUUCGAACAACCCCCCCCCCCCCCAAGCAAAGAUAAAUAUUUUUGAUUUUUUUUUGAUGUGAAAAACUAAAUAUAAC